This 253-nucleotide ribosomal RNA is filed under the name uncultured bacterium. RNAcentral's name for it is "partial 16S ribosomal RNA". It matches the Rfam family "Bacterial small subunit ribosomal RNA", at positions 524 to 776 of the family's 1533-position model. The record is from RNAcentral.
UACGUAGGGGGCUAGCGUUGUCCGGAUUUAUUGGGCGUAAAGCGCGUGUAGGCGGCCAGGUAGGUCCGCUGUGAAAACUCGAGGCUCAACCUCGAGACGUCGGCGGAAACCCUCUGGCUAGAGUCCGGAAGAGGAGAGUGGAAUUCCUGGUGUAGCGGUGAAAUGCGCAGAUAUCAGGAAGAACACCGAUGGCGAAAGCAGCUCUCUGGGACGGUACUGACGCUGAGACGCGAAAGCGUGGGGAGCGAACAGG